This 429-nucleotide ribosomal RNA is filed under the name Fusobacteriota bacterium. RNAcentral's name for it is "Fusobacteria bacterium partial 16S ribosomal RNA". It matches the Rfam family "Bacterial small subunit ribosomal RNA", at positions 355 to 776 of the family's 1533-position model. Lineage: Bacteria; Fusobacteriati; Fusobacteriota. The record is from RNAcentral.
UGGGGAAUAUUGCACAAUGGGCGCAAGCCUGAUGCAGCCAUGCCGCGUGUAUGAAGAAGGCCUUCGGGUUGUAAAGUACUUUCAGCGGGGAGGAAGGGAGUAAAGUUAAUACCUUUGCUCAUUGACGUUACCCGCAGAAGAAGCACCGGCUAACUCCGUGCCAGCAGCCGCGGUAAUACGGAGGGUGCAAGCGUUAAUCGGAAUUACUGGGCGUAAAGCGCACGCAGGCGGUUUGUUAAGUCAGAUGUGAAAUCCCCGGGCUCAACCUGGGAACUGCAUCUGCUACUGGCAAGCUUGAGUCUCGUAGAGGGUGGUAGAAUUCCAGGUGUAGCGGUGAAAUGCGUAGAGAUCUGGAGGAAUACCGGUGGCGAAGGCGGCCCCCUGGACGAAGACUGACGCUCAGGUGCGAAAGCGUGGGGAGCAAACAGG